UNCGAUUAAGAUGGCAGUGGCCGUGUUAU
This 29-nucleotide non-coding RNA is filed under the name Rattus norvegicus (Norway rat). Lineage: Eukaryota; Metazoa; Chordata; Mammalia; Rodentia; Muridae. The record is from RNAcentral.